UUAGUUUAGUAGCAUUCACCAAUCACCGUCGUUCCAGUCUUAUUGUUUGUUUUCAUGCCACCUAUAUGUUACAACCAGCAAUGUACCGAAUUUGUGUGGAAGUGUUAGCGUAUAAUGGUAUGAUUUGAUUUAUCAAGAAAUAAAAUGUCUGUGGUAUUGGGGCACAAAGUCCAGACAUAUUGUGUUGGAUUUUCUCCUAUAUCAUAAAAACAUUGGAAAAUUUAUCGAGGCCAUAUGGGCGUUAAAGUAGUUUUUUUUUAUUUUUUUUAUUUUUUGGUUUUCAAGUUAAUUCCAUUCGUAAUUCACCUGCACAAAAAGUAGAAUCAUUUGAGAGAAAACGCUGGCAGCGUUAAGGAGUACAAAGCGCUUCGGUUCACUGACCCUACCAUCGCCUGGAGUCUCCAAUAUACUUGCAUGGCUGCUCAUCUCUAGAGUAGCUUGUGUCGUGUUUCACUUCCUUACUAGUUAGUUUCGUUCUAGACCGCGACCAUGCUGAGAUGACGAAUUUUAACCUAGUCCUUUACUUAUCGAAAAUGCAAGGCAGAUAAAAAUCCAGUGUUAAAAAAAAGUUUUGUUUUUGCGCGCAAGGAAGUUGCCAUGGAAUUAGUUCGCCAAGCAAACUACAUUUCCCGAUCGGUUAAGCGGAUUUUUGUCAUUUCAAUAACAUUUAUCCUCUUUGUAGGUUUUUAUCAGGCAACAUGGCCAACUCCUAAUUUUCCAUCAUUGACUCAGACAUUGAGUCUCAUCAAUAGUUCUACGAAAACGAUUUUAAUUUGGAACCCAUACUCACGUUUUGAGCUGGAGGUUUUCGGAGAAGGAGCCGAUACUUUCACUAGUCAUCAUUGCCCGAUAAAUAAUUGUUUCAUUACGAAAAACCGAACUUGGGCUCCCCUACACCAAUUUGACAGCAUAAUAUUUAAUAUGCCACCGCUCUCUCUUUACAAGUUUCCAGUAGACGAACACAGACGACCGGAACAGCGUUACAUUUUCUUUUCCCAAGAGCCACCAACCUACAUCGGUGAGGAAGUUAAACUUUUUAAUCGUCGAUUUAAUUGGACAAUGUCGUACGCAACUCACGCGGAUAUUCGCUAUCACUAUGGUGAAAUAAUCCCUUUACCAUCUGCCCCGGCUACACACCACACUCGUAAAGCAUAUAUACAAUCGACCAAGAAUGGUGAGAAUUUUGCGGCUGGCAAAACAAAAUUGGUUGCGUGGUUUGUUUCGCACUGCUUCACACAAAGUCGCCGAGAAAAAUACGUCACCAUUAUGCGCCAAUACAUCCCAGUGGAUAUCUAUGGCGGUUGCUAUUCGCUUCGUUGCCCAAUGAACGAAAGUGCAUUUUUGUCUACUGAGCCAUGUUACGACUUGCUUGAUAGCAGAUACAAGUUCUACCUCGCCUUUGAAAAUUCUUUCUGUAACGAUUAUGUAACUGAAAAGUUUUUCGACGUCCUACAACGUCGAAUCAUCCCAAUUGUAAUGGGAGGAGCGAAUUACUCAGCCAUCGCACCACCUCAUUCGUACAUUGACGCAUUACAGUAUAGUCCUCGAGAAUUAGCCGAAUACCUCAAGCUGUUGGCCUCUGACGACAAAUUAUACAACGAAUAUUUUUGGUGGAAACCUCAUUUUCAAGUAGUAAAGAGAUACCCUUUUCUGGCUGCAAAUGCCCUGUGUUCGUUAUGUGACAAAUUACAUCACAACAAAACUGAAUCCAUCUAUCACGACCUGGCAGCAGGAUGGAGCCAGAAAACCCAGUGUAAAAGCCCUCGUUUCAAAGGUGUUCGGAUUUUCUGGGGAAUCUUUUAAAAUUUAAUUUGCAACGUCACAUUUUGUUAAGUUCCAUAUUAUUUUUAACUGAUUUAAACAGUAUAAACGUUAAAUUCCGCGUCAGUUAAAUCUUCUUCGUGUUUCGUGGAUCCUCGGGCUAUAACUAUAUUUAAUGGGGUUGUUGACCGUGCCGCAAGUGUAAUAGUAAUGUGAUUUUCGCUAGCCUCCCAUUCGUUGAAAGAACUUCAUGAAGUUUAGACGCGUAGCGAUGUAAAGAUUCUGUAUAAUUCUCUUUUAUUCUCAUAGUUUUUAAAUGGUAAAAUGGAAAUUUGUAGCAGACCUCGGAAAAUUCAAAUUCCUUUGGUGACCCUGGUAGUGUUCUCCUUUUAUUUGGUAUCGAUGUGGCAUUUUGAAAAGAUUGGCUCAAAUCUGGUUUCCCGUACUGAUGUGGAAUCAAUGCAAGUUUUCCCUCCCGAUUCGCAAGCACUUUCUUAUCUCUCCCCUUGUCCUUGCUCGGGGAAUAAUACGUCAAUACGCCAAGAAAAAGUUGACUAUACAUGGUGCAAUGGGGAAGCUGUUCAACGAGGGCCAAACCAAAACAUUGUUUCUUUUUCUCUCUUUGGAAAUGCUGACAAGGACGGGAUGAGGUAUUUCUCGUUUGUUCGUGAAAACGCUAUUAAAAUCAAACAACUACUUCCAGGGUGGAUCAUGAGACUACAUCACAAUACAGAAGUAGUCUUUGGAGAAGGCUUUCUAAGCGAAAGAAAAAAAAUCCUGAUUUCCGACCAGUAACCGGAGAACAGGUUUCCAAUGUCAAUCGACGAAUUUGGAGAUUUCUACCGUUGUUGGACCCGCUUGUUGAUGUUGUACUUACCAGAGAUUUAGACGCUACAGUGUCUAAUCGAGAAGUAGCCGCAAUUCAGCAA
This 2690-nucleotide unclassified non-coding RNA is filed under the name Daphnia pulicaria. Its description in RNAcentral is "uncharacterized LOC124328945, transcript variant X2". The record is from RNAcentral. Lineage: Eukaryota; Metazoa; Arthropoda; Branchiopoda; Diplostraca; Daphniidae.